GAGUGAAGCCUGAAGCCGAAGCCGUGUUUUGAGGUCUCUCUUUAGGCGGCCGCUUUUUCUGUUUUUGUUUUGAGCCCUCUCUCCCAGCUCUCUCAGUUGCAGCAGCAGCAGCGGCAGCAACAGAAGCAGCGCAGCAGCGUCAGCGGCUUGUUUGGCGGGUGCCUUACUAAUUCCCAUCCCCAAUAUCGAAUUCCCAGAAGUUUCCAAUGCCAGUUGCCUGAAUGAAUAUUAAAAUGCCUCUUUCGAAGCGCUCUUUUCAGGGUUUUCGAACAUCACUCAUACGCACUGUUGUUUACAACUUGUUUCGAGGGUCAAUCGGAAUACGUGACUAAGGGGGGAACUUAUCUAGAAGCUACUAAAUGUCCAUGGAUCAAUUAAGUCGAGUCAUCGAGGAAAUCAUGCCCUCCUAAGUGUGCGCGCUCGAGAGAGGGAGACAAAAACUUGGCCAAGUGCAGUAGGCCAUGCAAAUAGCCAAAGUGGGUCAGCUAUCAAAAGCUAUAUCAACAUCAACUAUGGCUGCCACCACACAAAAAACCGAAAAAAACAAAAAACGAACAAAAAAGCUUCGUCGUCACUUCUUCGGAUCUUUUCGGAUUUCGGUAUCAGCUCAGGGUAUUAUAGUAUAUACUAUGCCAGAUAAGCCGACGCGGCGACAAAAAAC
This 661-nucleotide small RNA is filed under the name Drosophila ananassae. RNAcentral's name for it is "GF27736". The record is from RNAcentral. Lineage: Eukaryota; Metazoa; Arthropoda; Insecta; Diptera; Drosophilidae.